GUUGCCAAAAAUUAAAGUGUGUCUUUUAAACAAAAUUAUAUAUAUUCUUUGUCCUUCCACUAUGGUACAGUUCUUUUGCAAUUUAUAAACAAUACUGGACUGUACGCGACCAAAUGCUUCAAUUUUUUAAAUGACUGCUUUGUUAAUGUUAUAUAAUUCUUACAUCAUUCAAUAAUCAUAACUACAGCUGGGCUCAGUUUAAAUUGUUUGUUUAUUUCAAAAUUGUUUCAGUAAAGGAAUUAGGGCUUGUUUUUACCUUUAUUUUCAAAUAUGUUUACAUUUAAAAGAAUUUAUUGUUCUUAUUGUACAAAUUUUAAUCUAUCUGAUUAUUAAUCUGUCAGAACGAUAAAAAUCAUUUAGAUUUAAAACUUUAUCAAUCUUAAUUGUUAC
This 390-nucleotide long non-coding RNA is filed under the name Mytilus galloprovincialis (Mediterranean mussel). Lineage: Eukaryota; Metazoa; Mollusca; Bivalvia; Mytilida; Mytilidae. The record is from RNAcentral.